Molecule: ribosomal RNA, 506 nt
Filed under: uncultured bacterium
Lineage: Bacteria
Description: partial 16S ribosomal RNA
Rfam family: Bacterial small subunit ribosomal RNA
Source: RNAcentral
GAUGAACGCUAGCGGCAGGCCUAACACAUGCAAGUCGAGGGGCAGCACAGAAAUUCAGCAAUGAGUUUUGGUGGCGACCGGCAGACGGGUGCGUAACGCGUAUGCAACCUACCUUUAACAGGGGGAUAACGGAGAGAAAUUUCCACUAAUACCCCAUAACAUCGAUCAAGGCAUCUUGAUUGGUUGAACACUCCGGUGGUUAAAGAUGGGCAUGCGUUGUAUUAGGUAGUUGGUGAGGUAAUGGCUCACCAAGCCUACGAUACAUAGGGGGACUGAGAGGUUAGCCCCCCACGCUGGUACUGAGACACGGACCAGACUCCUACGGGAGGCAGCAGUGAGGAAUAUUGGUCAAUGGGGGCAACCCUGAACCAGCCAUGCCGCGUGCAGGAAGACGGCUCUAUGAGUUGUAAACUGCUUUUAAACAGGGAUAAAGCACAGUAUGUAUACUGUAUUGAAGGUACUGUAAGAAUAAGGAUCGGCUAACUCCGUGCCAGCCGCCGCCGUAA